Molecule: ribosomal RNA, 305 nt
Filed under: uncultured bacterium
Lineage: Bacteria
Description: bacterial SSU rRNA
Rfam family: Bacterial small subunit ribosomal RNA
Source: RNAcentral
UUCGUCCUACGGGGGGCAGCAGUGAGGAAUAUUGGUCAAUGGGCGGGAGCCUGAACCAGCCAAGCCGCGUGAAGGAAGAAGGCGCCAAGCGUCGUAAACUUCUUUUGUCGGGGAACAAAGGGCGCCACGUGUGGCGUUGUGAGUGUACCCGAAGAAAAAGCAUCGGCUAACUCCGUGCCAGCAGCCGCGGUAAUACGGAGGAUGCGAGCGUUAUCCGGAUUUAUUGGGUUUAAAGGGUGCGCAGGCGGUCUGUUAAGUCAGCGGUCAAAGCCCGGGGCUCAACCCCGGCCCGCCGUUGAAACUGG